GACGAACGCUGGCGGCGUGCCUAACACAUGCAAGUCGAACGGGACUGAAUCUGACACCGGAAACUCAGUUGCGGUGCAGAAAAGCAUCGGAAGUGAAUAGCCGGUGUUGGAUUUAGUUCAGUGGCGGACGGGUGAGUAACGCGUGAGGAACCUGCCUUUCAGAGGGGGAUAGCGUCUGGAAACGGACGGUAAUACCGCAUGACAUCUUCGAGCCACAUGGCUUGGGGACCAAAGGAGCAAUCCGCUGAAAGAUGGACUCGCGUCCGAUUAGCCAGUUGGCGGGGUAAUGGCCCACCAAAGCGACGAUCGGUAGCCGGACUGAGAGGUUGAACGGCCACAUUGGGACUGAGACACGGCCCAGACUCCUACGGGAGGCAGCAGUGGGGGAUAUUGCACAAUGGAGGAAACUCUGAUGCAGCAACGCCGCGUGAAGGAAGACGGUCUUCGGAUUGUAAACUUAUGUCCUCGCUGACGAUAAUGACGGUAGGCGAGGAGGAAGCUCCGGCUAACUACGUG
RNAcentral lists this ribosomal RNA (516 nucleotides) under uncultured organism. RNAcentral describes it as "bacterial SSU rRNA". It matches the Rfam family "Bacterial small subunit ribosomal RNA", at positions 28 to 507 of the family's 1533-position model. The record is from RNAcentral.